Molecule: ribosomal RNA, 33 nt
Filed under: Trichoderma viride
Lineage: Eukaryota; Fungi; Ascomycota; Sordariomycetes; Hypocreales; Hypocreaceae
Description: partial 28S ribosomal RNA
Source: RNAcentral
UUGACCUCUGGUAUGUCGAAUGUACAGACGUGA